RNAcentral lists this ribosomal RNA (485 nucleotides) under uncultured bacterium. RNAcentral describes it as "partial 16S ribosomal RNA". It matches the Rfam family "Bacterial small subunit ribosomal RNA", at positions 28 to 507 of the family's 1533-position model. The record is from RNAcentral.
GAUGAACGCUGGCGGCGUGCUUAACACAUGCAAGUCGAACGGGAUCCAAGGGGUGCUUGCCCUUUUUGGUGAGAGUGGCGAACGGGUGAGUAACACGUGAGUAACCUGUCCUUUUCUUUGGGAUAAGCAUUCGAAAGGGUGUUUAAUACCUUAUGUUCUGUCUGCCUCGCAUGGGGUGGGUGGGAAAGGCUUUGGCCGGAUUUGGGUGGGCUCGCGGUCUAUCAGCUUGUUGGUGGGGUGAUGGCUUACCAAGGCUUUGACGGGUAGCCGGCCGGAGAGGGUGGGCGGUCACAUUGGGACUGAGAGACGGCCAAGACUCCUGCGGGAGGCAGCAGUGGGGGAUAUUGCACAAUGGGCGAAAGCCUGAUGCAGCGACGCCGCGUGGGGGAUGAAGGCCUUCGGGUUGUAAACUUCUUUUGCUCUGAACAAGGCAUGCCAGUGGGUGUGUUGAGUGUAGGGGUUGAUUAGCGCCGGCUAACUACGUG